UACAGAGGGGGCAAGCGUUGUUCGGAAUUACUGGGCGUAAAGGGCGCGUAGGCGGCCGCCUAAGUCAGACGUGAAAUCCCUCGGCUCAACCGGGGAACUGCGUCUGAUACUGGGUGGCUUGAAUCCGGGAGAGGGAUGCGGAAUUCCAGGUGUAACGGUGAAAUGCGUAGAUAUCUGGAGGAACACCGGUGGCGAAGGCGGCAUCCUGGACCGGCAUUGACGCUGAGGCGCGAAAGCCAGGGGAGCAAACGGG
RNAcentral lists this ribosomal RNA (253 nucleotides) under uncultured bacterium. RNAcentral's name for it is "partial 16S ribosomal RNA". It matches the Rfam family "Bacterial small subunit ribosomal RNA", at positions 524 to 776 of the family's 1533-position model. The record is from RNAcentral.